AAGGUGUUGAAGGUGAUGGCGUCGGCCACAGUUGUUGACCGUUGAAAUGAUGAUUGGAAGGUCACACCUGUCACCCAUACAACUUAAUGGAAAGGCCAUGUGGGACUUUGGAGGUAAAUGCACAUUUUUUAGCUUUACUUUCACAACUUCUAUUAUGGUCGAACUCUUUUAUUGCUUCAAUCCCUAGAUUUGUAUUAUUACACUCAUCCCAACUCAAUUUACAUUAUAUAUUAUCCACUUCCAUAAUUCAUAAAUGUAUUCUAUUUGGAUGAGUUUGUCAAAAUUGAUCCUACCUCACUUUAAAUCAAAUAUAAUUCACUCUAUUCGUAAAAGUUAGUGAGCCUCGCAUACAAUAAAACCAACCUCUUGUUUUCACUUCAAAAUUUUCUCUUCCUUACCUUUGCCGUGAUUGGGCAAGACUUAACCUUUUGCUAUUUUUCAAUUGAAUCUCAUUUGUUAAACCAAAAAAAAAAAAAAAAAAAAAAAAAAACAUAAAAUCUAUCUUAAGAUGAUAUAAGUUAAAGAUUAAAUCAACUUAUCGGAACUAAAGUCCAAUUUUUAUUCCACAUAUUUUCCUUUUAUCUUAUUUUUUUCCAUCAAUUUUGUUGGUUCAAAUUCAUGGGUAAGAAAUAGUAUGAUAUAGACGUGGAUAAGACACCAAUAAUAUUGUUUCCAAUACAAGGCAGAUCCCUGAUGUGUGUGUAGAUAUCCUUAGUUACAUUAUUUGGAGAUGCUUUCUAGAUGCAUGUAACUCUAUUUAUUAUUCAUCUUCAAUGGUAUGUGUACAUAUACUCAUUUAUUUUCUCUCUUUUAAGAAAGAUCAAUAUAUAUAUUUACGAGUGGUAUAAAAAGAGUUCAUUUUAUUCAUCAUUUGUAAUAUUUAUAAUCAACCAAUUUAAGAAACACUAUUAGCAAAUUGAAUGAAUUUGUGACAAUUUUCUUCUUUUUCUGUUCUUGAGGUUUGCAAGAGUGACGUUCCUUCUCUUCUCUAUUCAAUAAUAUUGUGAAAUUUAGAGCAAAUAACAUGAGCUCAUGGACUAUCUUCCAACAUUAAUUAAAAAAGGUAAUUCAUCCUAUACUCAAUUGAUCUCCCCCCAAAAAAAAGCUAUUAGUUUAAUUUCUUGUAGAUCUUUUUGUUAUAAUAAAUGGAUUGUAUGGUUUAAUUUUGAUUUUAAUAGUACAAAUUUUAUGUGAAUUAUUGAAUUCUAUUGUAUCAUGUAAUUUAGUUAAAUUACGUAGGAUUAUCAUUUUUCUAA
Molecule: long non-coding RNA, 1256 nt
Filed under: Cucumis sativus (cucumber)
Lineage: Eukaryota; Viridiplantae; Streptophyta; Magnoliopsida; Cucurbitales; Cucurbitaceae
Description: long non-coding RNA (CSAT_LNC000768)
Source: RNAcentral